GUGAAGCUCCGAGCCGACGUGUCGCUUACGUGGUAAUACCAAGCUGACCUGUCGCCUACGUGGUAAUACUGAGCUAAUGUUGCACGUACGUGGUAAUACCGAGCUGAUGUCGGCAGAGCAGAGCAGAGCAGAUUCGGCAUAGCAGAGACGUAGAGUCGGGCAGAGCUGAGUCAGGCAGAGUCUGCAGAGCUGCCUCUGGCAAGGCUUAGUCAGCUCUGGAAUUGAAGAAUACUUAGUCAGCUCUGGAAUUGAAGAAUUCUGCCGCCGCCAUUCUCCAACACCACACCUCUUUCUCCAUCGGCCUCCCCCACCACCAUCACCAGAUCUGCCGCCCCCUCCGCUCCUCCACCCCCAUCACCAGAGCUCUGCCAUCGUUGACCACCAUCUCCUCCUGCAUCGCUAUCAUCUUCUUCGAUGAGCCUAGGGCCUCCAUUGAAGGAAUCAGAUGGGUGAAUUGAAAAUUUGUCGAUUUGGGGAAUGGGUUUCCUUUAAUUGUUGGGAAAUUUUCGAUUUUGAUCUUGUGUGUGUGUGUUAGCGUUGCUGGUGUUGAAAAUCAAGCAAAUAGACAGAAAAUUAGGGCUCUGCGUUGGGGUGGACCGGAUGUAGCCGCUGCCCUCCGAUGUAGUCGCUGCGGAUUUCUUUCCGACGACGAUGGUGGUGGCGUCUUUGGGGGUGGACGAAGAAAGAGCAGUAAACAGAAAAUUAGGGCUCUGCAAGACUGAGGGCAGAGAGGAGAAGACGGGGGCUGGAAUUUGAGGUAAAACGACGUCGUUUCACCCCCAACUAAACGACGUCAUUUUGGUUUCCGUCCGACGGCUCCAUGUCAUAUUUCAGGUGACUGAAAAGUGCCAUGUCAGCACUCUAUUUGGGGUUUUCUCAAAAUCAUGGCAAAAUUGAUCAAUUGGUUAAGUUCUGGGAAAAUUUGAUAAAAAAAAAAAGUUCAUGGCAAACUUGAAAAUCGGC
This 963-nucleotide long non-coding RNA is filed under the name Salvia miltiorrhiza (redroot sage). RNAcentral describes it as "long non-coding RNA (SMIL_LNC003816)". The record is from RNAcentral. Lineage: Eukaryota; Viridiplantae; Streptophyta; Magnoliopsida; Lamiales; Lamiaceae.